Molecule: RNA transcript, 572 nt
Organism: Cariama cristata (Red-legged seriema)
Lineage: Eukaryota; Metazoa; Chordata; Aves; Cariamiformes; Cariamidae
Gene name: macrophage migration inhibitory factor pseudogene
Exons: 1
Source: RefSeq, a predicted model, not a curated record
CCCUGCCGCUGCCCCCCCCGCUGCCGCCACCAUGCCCAUGUUCGCCAUCCAGACCAACGUCUGCAAGGACGUUGCACCCGACAGCCUGCUGGGCAACCUCACCCAGCAGCUGGCCAAGGCCACUGGCAAGCCCAAGCAGUACAUAGCUGUGCACAUCAUACCUGAUCAGAUGAUGUCUUUCAGGGGCUCCACCGAUCCCUGUGCACUCUGCAGCCUUGACAGCAUGGGCAAAAUAGGAGGGCAGCAGAACAAGACUUACACCAAGCUCCUGUGUGAUCUGAUCUCUAAGCACUUGCAUGUAUCUGCAAGAUAGGGUGUACAUCAACUACUUUGACGUGAAUGCUGACAAUGUGGGCUGGAAUGGCUCCACCUUUGCAAGGAGCUCUCCCGUCUGAAGAGGCUGCUCCUGGACUACCUUCAUCCUGCGCCUUAGCAGAGACCACUGCACAAAUGGCCCUAUGUUGCACUUUGUGCACUCUCACAUUGAUGGCUACUUGCUAGUGUGUUUAAAUACUGCUGCUUCAACAUUCCUCUGUUUUCUCUGUGUAGAAAACAAAUAAAGAUUUAGAAGU